UGGGGAAUUUUGGACAAUGGGGGCAACCCUGAUCCAGCCAUUCCGCGUGAGUGAAGAAGGCCUUCGGGUUGUAAAGCUCUUUCAGCAGGAACGAAACGGUCGGCUUUAAUAAAGUCGGCUAAUGACGGUACCUGCAGAAGAAGCUCCGGCUAACUUCGUGCCAGCAGCCGCGGUAAUACGAAGGGGGCUAGCGUUGUUCGGAUUUACUGGGCGUAAAGCGCGUGUAGGCGGGUCGUUAAGUUGGGGGUGAAAUCCCGAGGCUCAACCUCGGAACUGCCUUCAAAACUGGCGACCUGGACUCAAGUAGAGGCAAGUGGAAUUGCGAGUGUAGAGGUGAAAUUCGUAGAUAUUCGCAGGAACACCAGUGGCGAAGGCGACUUGCUGGACUUGUAGUGACGCUGAGACGCGAAAGCGUGGGGAGCAAACAGGAUUAGAUACCCAGGUAGUCCCUGAGCGGGCUGGCAAGGCGCAU
This 472-nucleotide ribosomal RNA is filed under the name uncultured bacterium. RNAcentral describes it as "bacterial SSU rRNA". It matches the Rfam family "Bacterial small subunit ribosomal RNA", at positions 355 to 825 of the family's 1533-position model. The record is from RNAcentral.